UAGGGAAUCUUCCACAAUGGACGCAAGUCUGAUGGAGCAACGCCGCGUGAGUGAAGAAGGUUUUCGGAUCGUAAAGCUCUGUUGUUGGUGAAGAAGGAUAGGAGUAGUAACUGGUUUCUAUUUGACGGUAAUCAACCAGAAAGUCACGGCUAACUACGUGCCAGCAGCCGCGGUAAUACGUAGGUGGCAAGCGUUGUCCGGAUUUAUUGGGCGUAAAGCGAGCGCAGGCGGAAUGAUAAGUCUGAUGUGAAAGCCCACGGCUCAACCGUGGAACUGCAUCGGAAACUGUCAUUCUUGAGUGCAGAAGAGGAGAGUGGAACUCCAUGUGUAGCGGUGGAAUGCGUAGAUAUAUGGAAGAACACCAGUGGCGAAGGCGGCUCUCUGGUCUGCAACUGACGCUGAGGCUCGAAAGCAUGGGUAGCGAACAGG
Molecule: ribosomal RNA, 429 nt
Filed under: uncultured bacterium
Lineage: Bacteria
Description: bacterial SSU rRNA
Rfam family: Bacterial small subunit ribosomal RNA
Source: RNAcentral